GCGCAAAAUUGCUCAUCUCUGCUUAUCAAACGAGCACUGAGCCGCUCAAUUACAGUCUUACAGAAGCAAACGAAGACCUGACCUCCUGCCCACAAUGUUCAGCAUCGAUGGGGACCCAUGGCUGGCUCCGGAUAAGCUCUACCACGUCCUCUUUUGUCUCUUCCUAACCGUCUUCUUCUCCAAACUAGCAUCCCUCGCACGUUACUCCUUUCUCCGUCGCUAUUCGGUUCCUGUAGGUUCUAUCCUCUCCCUUGCCGCCGGCGCUGCGAAGGAAGCGGCUGAUCAAUUUGGCUUUUUCCCUUCUGCCGGUGCAUCGGCCAAG
Molecule: unclassified non-coding RNA, 322 nt
Filed under: Hevea brasiliensis (rubber tree)
Lineage: Eukaryota; Viridiplantae; Streptophyta; Magnoliopsida; Malpighiales; Euphorbiaceae
Source: RNAcentral